AGUGAACGCUGGCGGCGUGCCUAAUACAUGCAAGUCGAACGAAAACACAAUAAGCUUGUUCCUCUACCGGUAGCGAGUGACGGGUGGGUGACACGUGGAUAGGCUUCCUCUAAUACGGGGAGAACUUCGUAGGGCCACUUAUACUACCAGAUCAUAUGUUGUACCGCAUAAAGCAAUGGUUCAUCGCACCUUUGGUGUCACUUAGAGCUGGAGCCGCGCCGCAUUAGCUAGUUGGUAAAGUAACGGCUUACCAAGGCAACGAUGCGUAGCCGACCUGAGAGGGUGAUCGGCCACACUGGAACUGAGACACGGUCCAGACUCCUACGGGAGGCAGCAGUAGGGAAUCUUCGGCAAUGGGCGAAAGCCUGACGCAGCAAUGCCGCGUGAGUGAUGAAGGCCUUCGGAUCGUAAAACUCUGUUAUUAGGGAAGAAAAACUGCGUAAGAAACUAUGCCUGUCCUGACGGUACCUAAUGAGAAAGCCACGGCUAACUACGUG
Molecule: ribosomal RNA, 497 nt
Filed under: uncultured bacterium
Lineage: Bacteria
Description: partial 16S ribosomal RNA
Rfam family: Bacterial small subunit ribosomal RNA
Source: RNAcentral